This 401-nucleotide ribosomal RNA is filed under the name uncultured bacterium. RNAcentral's name for it is "bacterial LSU rRNA". It matches the Rfam family "Bacterial large subunit ribosomal RNA", at positions 624 to 1028 of the family's 2925-position model. The record is from RNAcentral.
CGAGUUACCCUAUGUGGCAAGCUUAAGACCGAAAGGCGUAGGCGAAGCGAAAGCGAGUCUGAACAGGGCGUUCAGUCGCAUGGGGUAGACCCGAAACGGUUGAUCUACCCAUGGUCAGGUUGAAGCGCGGGUAAAACCGCGUGGAGGACCGAACUCACCGGUGUUGAAAAACUGGGGGAUGAACUGUGGGUAGGGGUGAAAGGCCAAUCAAACACCGAAAUGGCUGGUUCUCCCCGAAAUAUAUCUAGGUAUAGCGUCGCGUAUGACCUCGGGAGGUAGAGCACUGAAUGGGCUAGGGGUCUCACCAGAUUACCAAACCCAAUCAAACUCCGAAUGCCCGAGAGUCGAGCGCGGCAGUCAGUCGGCGGUGAUACGUCCGUCGUACGAAAAGGAACGAACCC